GAUGUCAUGGAAACAGAAGAGGAAGAGGGUCACAGCCACUUUUUUCUGGCCCAAGAUGUCUUUGAACUAGAAGAGAAAUAUCUGGGGACUUUCCCCAGGGAACCCUAGAGCCUUAUUUUCUGCAGCCAUUACUGUGGCUCACGUUCUUUGGUUACAGCUCCAGAGUGGUGAGGCCUGAAAGACUCAGAUUCCUUAAUCUGAUUAUUACGUGUGCCAACAGGCUCCCCAGAGAGACAAAGCAGUGUUGGUCCUGUUUCCCAGGGUGACAUACGUUCAUGUUCUUCAGAUGAAAUCCAUUGUCGCAGGCAUGUUCUGGGUUGUGGGGCUUUUUGAUGCAGAAGCAGAGGCUAACGGACAAGGCGGAUUCUUUACCACUGUGUCGCCUCGGAAGCCCAUGUGAGGAGCAACACAACUUGGAAAAGGUGGUCAGGGAAGAACUCUGAUAAAGAGACAUUUGAACAGAGCAUUUUGCAAACCGUGGGGCUGGAAAUCCAGGCCUGACUCCGCUGGCCACUCGGAUCUCUUGUCUGGACUCGGAUGAACGUGUUCAAGAUCCGCAGACCUGCCUGGGGGAGCCUGAGCUGGAUCCCAACAUUUGUGCGACCUCGUGCUUGACUGGCUCCCAGUAACCCACCUGUUAAAUGGGACCUAAAGGGCUGUUUGGUGAUUAAAUGAUAUACUGUGUACGCGUGUGUGGACUUUACACCUGUGGGCAGUGUGCUAAUUUAAAAGCACCUUCUCAGUGUGAGUCUUGCAGAAACUGUGUGGCUUCCAGUACAGCGUAAGCUGGACCCCCUUCAGGAGGAGGUAGCUUUUGAGUUGAGAAGGCAGCUAACCCGGGGACGGAGGGGGUUGGAGCCGUGCAGCUGGGGCAGGUGACUGCAGAAGCAGAGUGACUGGAAGGGCUGAGGGUGGUAGCGAAUGCCAUCUUGCCCUUUCUCUCCCAAGCCCCAGCUCUCUUUCUCUCCUCAAGGAAGCACAAUGACAGCAGGGUCACCUUGAAUGCAGUAUUAGUGCAUGUAUAAAAAUCAUUAGCAAAUGUGAUCCUUCGUUAUUAGUAACAGAUAAUUUGAGUUAUACCACAUACUGCUCGGACAGUGAUGCUCCUUGAGGACAGGGGCCAGGUUUUAUUUACUAAUUGUAUUAUCACUUUUAAUUUCUGGCAUGUUGGUGCAUUGUAAGUUAUCAGGAAAUGUUUAAUAAAUGACUAACCAGUUUGGACACUCCCUUCUUCUCCACU
Molecule: long non-coding RNA, 1240 nt
Filed under: Capra hircus (goat)
Lineage: Eukaryota; Metazoa; Chordata; Mammalia; Artiodactyla; Bovidae
Description: lncRNA (ENSCHIG00000000794.1)
Source: RNAcentral